Long non-coding RNA from Mustela erminea (ermine), 1108 nucleotides. RefSeq lists it as uncharacterized. The transcript has 4 exons. The record is from RefSeq and is a predicted model, not a curated record. Lineage: Eukaryota; Metazoa; Chordata; Mammalia; Carnivora; Mustelidae.
UCGGUAAGCUCAGAGGAGACAAUUGUCUGGAUUCAGAAAUAAACGAUGAAAGCUUCAAGCUUUGAAGCCUCCCCCAACACCUUCCAGCACUGUUUUUCCUCCACUGAAGGAAGAGCAGCAGGCACCUCAUGCGUGCUUCCUUUCUCCUCCUGCCACCACUCCAUGUGGCCCCUUCCAGCUGCUAAGGAUGCAUCUUCAAACCUCUGUUUGCCAAGUUGGAGGGGACUGGCUUCUGUCUGGACUCACAGCUUCAAAUAGUGAGACAAUCUCAGGAUGCAGCCAAAUAUUUUUUUUUAAUCAAAUAUUGCAUCUAAAAAGAUAUGGCUAAGUAACAAGAGCCUUCAGAUGGUGUCUCUACCAUUUUUUUUCUUUUUCCAAAAACCAAAUAUGAAUUCAAGAAACUGUUGUUGGCAUUUAGCUGGUGGAGAGAUAAUGGUGGUUUUCCCCGAGCACACGGUCAUUCUUUGAAAGCCAGCCAGAUGAGCAGAUAUGCUAGGAUCAAGUGACUGGAGUUCUAGAAAUCAUAUUAUAAACAUGGGAUGAAGAUUCAUCCUAGGGAUUGUGGAAUGGCAAGCUGCAAAGACCUUGGAUCUCCAAAAAGCUCAUGGCCCCGCCACAUCAGCCCUACACUGCCCACUUCUGGACAUCCUACUAGAUGAGAGGAAAAGAAAGUUCUGUGCUGCUUAAAUCCAUUUUCAGAUCAGCCAUUUCCUGACUAAUACACACAGCGUGCCCUUGUCAAAGAGCAAGAAAACAUUUCUCAGAAGUCUCCUGUGUCUCGUUGGUCAGAAUUGGGUGUAAUGCCCAUUCCUGAAUCAAAAUCUGGCAACAAGAAUGUGAUUGCCUGCAGUCCAGUCAGACCCACCCAAUGAGGCUGGGGACGGGCCCCAGGGCAGAAGGGAAGCCCAGCUCCCCUGGAGCCAUCAGUCACCCCACAAUGGCUGUGGCAGCCCUGUCCAGCCCAGCCGAGUCUCAGAACGCCACUGGGGGCAGCUGUAGGGGGAGAAUGUCUUUGGUGGAUGGCCUAAAAGCUAAGACUGGAACAGAGCCGAGAUGCCAGUGUGACCACAACCAGAGGGAACAGACAGCUCGACUACCCACGGAGACA